GAGAGCGCGUGCUUUGCAAGCAUGAGGUCGUCGGUUCGAUCCCGUCUGGCUCCACCAGAUGGUUUGAUCACCGAGAUCUUGACCGUCGUCCGCGAAACAUCACUUCGCAUCCUGCUAGUCUGGAUAGACAGCAGUUUGCGUGUUUUCUGACAUCGUAAAGAGGAGAUCGAUCCGAGUUGGGUCGUGCAGCAUAUCGUUGCGCGAGCCUUCAUUAUCUCCGGAUCAUUUCGGCGCUCGCUUCCAGCCGUGAGGUUGGAUGCGGGUUGUAAAUGAUCCUUUUAGCGAAGCUUGACCGCCUCGCUAUCGGAACGAUCUUACGAAGCAAGCUGGUCUUUCUAGUCAAUGUCCGGCUGCGGAUAGCGUUCAUCGAGGGCGCGUGCCGCAAGGCAAUUCUGCAGACAACAUUCUGCCGAGUGUGUGGACAUUGAUAAUGAGAGCAAUCAAGUGCCUUAAGGGUGUUCGGUGGAUGCCUUGGCGCUGAGAGGCGAUGAAGGACGUGCUACGCUGCGAUAAGCCGUGGGGAGCUGCGAAGAAGCUUUGAUCCGCGGAUUUCCGAA
This 557-nucleotide unclassified non-coding RNA is filed under the name uncultured Bradyrhizobium sp. Its description in RNAcentral is "partial 16S-23S ribosomal RNA intergenic spacer". The stretch from base 439 to 557 matches the Rfam family "Bacterial large subunit ribosomal RNA", at positions 1 to 118 of the family's 2925-position model. Lineage: Bacteria; Pseudomonadati; Pseudomonadota; Alphaproteobacteria; Hyphomicrobiales; Nitrobacteraceae. The record is from RNAcentral.